GUCUAUCCUUUACAACUUACUACCCUAAGACGAAUAAAAAUAUGUCAAUAUAUUGUAUUUAUUGGAUAUUAGCAUCAUGAAUGACGUAUAGUCCUUAGGUUACAGUAGAAGAAAAAGGCAAUCUAUAUUAUGUUAAUAUAGGAAGAGAGUUUUGUAGCCAAGGUGUCUAUUUAAUCUCUUGCAGCUUGUAGGGUUUAUUAAUCUAAGUAG
Molecule: long non-coding RNA, 210 nt
Filed under: Carica papaya (papaya)
Lineage: Eukaryota; Viridiplantae; Streptophyta; Magnoliopsida; Brassicales; Caricaceae
Description: long non-coding RNA (CPAP_LNC009947)
Source: RNAcentral